Molecule: ribosomal RNA, 264 nt
Filed under: Triticum aestivum (bread wheat)
Lineage: Eukaryota; Viridiplantae; Streptophyta; Magnoliopsida; Poales; Poaceae
Description: partial small subunit ribosomal RNA
Source: RNAcentral
AUGGCGGGCACAAAAGCAGCAGUGAUGAAGCUGGCGGUCGUCCUCCUGGCCAUGAGCCAGCUCGUCCACAUGGCGACGCCAACGGCCGAUCCAACGACUGCAUCGUCUCUGCUGGUUACCAGCGUUUCCCCUUCUGGGGGAGUCAUUUCUAAACCCAGCCAUGGCAUCAGGGAAGAGAAGGUGCUGCUCGAUGCGGCCAAGCCCAGCAUCCCUGUUCCGCCUCCUCCCCACCUCAUCCUACCAUGCAAGGGAAGAGGGUGCUAA